GUGAAUAUACAUCCCUACUUUCCCUCACUCUCCCUCUCUCUCUUUAUCUCUCUUGCACCACCACCACCCGCACACCAACACUAGCACCACCACGACCACCACCCUCAUACCAGCAUCACCACCGCACCACCCCAACGCCACCUCCACACCGGCCACCGCACCACCCCCAUAGUGGCCAACAGUUACAGCGGUGGUGAUGGUUUCACGGCGGCCCCUUCGUUGCUAUAGUGGUGGCUAUAGUUUUGGAUUUGGUACGUCGGCCACAGAUUCUAUUGCUCAGUCACAUCGCAUGCCACCAUGAUCAGCAGUUAGGGUUCACCGUUCACAUAUUCUAGCUACAGCAGCCAAUAAUUAGGGUUUUACAGCGGUUCACCACCACAACCCCAUCCUCAGCAGUUACGGCGGCCAAUAAUUGGCUUUGAUUUCACUAUUGUAGUCGUGUUUGAGUUCAGUAUAAGUAAUUGUUGGGAUUUUGAUGGAGGAAUUGAUAUGGGGUGGUGCAGUGGUGGUGCUGGUGUGGGAGGAGUAG
This 529-nucleotide long non-coding RNA is filed under the name Helianthus annuus (common sunflower). RNAcentral describes it as "hypothetical non coding rna". The record is from RNAcentral. Lineage: Eukaryota; Viridiplantae; Streptophyta; Magnoliopsida; Asterales; Asteraceae.